RNAcentral lists this ribosomal RNA (446 nucleotides) under uncultured soil bacterium. RNAcentral's name for it is "bacterial SSU rRNA". It matches the Rfam family "Bacterial small subunit ribosomal RNA", at positions 26 to 518 of the family's 1533-position model. The record is from RNAcentral.
AGAACGAACGCUGGCGGCAUGCCUAAUACAUGCAAGUCGAACGAACACUUCGGUGUUAGUGGCGCACGGGUGCGUAACGCGUGGGAAUCUGCCCUUGGGUUCGGAAUAACAGUUGGAAACGACUGCUAAUACCGGAUGAUAUCGAAAGAUCAAAGAUUUAUCGCCCAGGGAUGAGCCCGCGUAGGAUUAGCUAGUUGGUGAGGUAAAGGCUCACCAAGGCGACGAUCCUUAGCUGGUCUGAGAGGAUGAUCAGCCACACUGGGACUGAGACACGGCCCAGACUCCUACGGGAGCAGCAGUAGGGAAUAUUGGACAAUGGGCGCAAGCCUGAUCCAGCAAUGCCGCGUGAGUGAUGAAGGCCUUAGGGUUGUAAAGCUCUUUACCCGAGAUGAUAAUGACAGUAUCGGAAGAAUAACGCCCGGACUAACCUCCGUGCCAGCAGCCGC